RNAcentral lists this long non-coding RNA (253 nucleotides) under Calidris pugnax (ruff). Its description in RNAcentral is "lncRNA (ENSCPUG00000007342.1)". Lineage: Eukaryota; Metazoa; Chordata; Aves; Charadriiformes; Scolopacidae. The record is from RNAcentral.
CCUCAUGCCACAGGGAUUCCACCUGGUUAUAAACCUCAUUCAUGAGGUGACGAACAGGUUUCAAGAUCAGUGUCUGGAAUUUGACUCGGUGGAAACCAUCGUUCUUCACCUGACGUUGGCAGAAAGCAGUUUCCUGUCCUUCUUCCUGCUGCUUCCUAUAGAAUCUCUUCCUUGAAAGACCAGGCUUGCCCAGUCUGUUUAAAAACCAGGUACUUUUCCUGUCUCCCUUUGUUCCACUAUAGAGUUUAUAUGC